GCCAGGUACCACAAAUACCAUUUAGAAAUAUAACAAACUGGUAGCCACUAGGAAGUAUUCUUAGUGAGGAUGAGGAUCGAGACAUCACAACCAUAGUACAUGGUACACAUUGUAAAAUGUCAUAUCCGUUCAGUUGCAACAAUUUGUAUAGGGUAUACUUUGGAAUGUUUUGCAAUUCUGG
Long non-coding RNA from Branchiostoma floridae (Florida lancelet), 181 nucleotides. RefSeq lists it as uncharacterized. Lineage: Eukaryota; Metazoa; Chordata; Leptocardii; Amphioxiformes; Branchiostomatidae. The record is from RefSeq and is a predicted model, not a curated record. The transcript is spliced from 3 exons.